UACGAAGGGGGCUAGCGUUGCUCGGAAUUACUGGGCGUAAAGGGCGCGUAGGCGGCCUGCUAAGUCGGAUGUGAAAUCCCUCGGCUCAACCGAGGAACUGCAUCCGAUACUGGCGGGCUUGAAUCCGGGAGAGGGAUGUGGAAUUCCAGGUGUAGCGGUGAAAUGCGUAGAUAUCUGGAGGAACACCGGUGGCGAAGGCGGCAUCCUGGACCGGUAUUGACGCUGAGGCGCGAAAGCUAGGGGAGCAAACGGG
This 253-nucleotide ribosomal RNA is filed under the name uncultured bacterium. RNAcentral describes it as "partial 16S ribosomal RNA". It matches the Rfam family "Bacterial small subunit ribosomal RNA", at positions 524 to 776 of the family's 1533-position model. The record is from RNAcentral.